Long non-coding RNA from Cairina moschata (Muscovy duck), 2662 nucleotides. The record is from Ensembl. Lineage: Eukaryota; Metazoa; Chordata; Aves; Anseriformes; Anatidae.
UGCUUGAUGAAUAUAUGCAGUGAAACAAAAGGGAAGGAUUUUCAUCCAGAUCUGGAAAAGCUGAGAAUGAGAUCUGAAGAGGAAAGAAAAGAGAUGCAGCAAACCAACAGUCCUCUGUUGUCCAUCACCAAAUCUUUCUGGAUUCCAGGGACACAUCAUAAGGCAGACGACGAGCUCUUAGAGUUCUUGACUGAGAGUAAGCUCAGUUUGUCAUAAGAAACUCAAGUGACUUAUCAUUCCUUUUUGAUGUUCAUACAUUUCCUGGAGGGCAUUAAUGCUUUGGAAAUGGGAAGAAUAGGGAAAAGGUGAGGUGGAACUCAGACAAUAGUUAACAGUAUAAGAUAAAGAAGGCUGUAUGUGUUUCUGAAAAGAAAACAUCUUUCUCCCAACUAACCAUCCUAGAAACUGAGCCAGCGUGAAGAGUUUACAUUAAAAAGGCAUUUUACAGUUAGGACUAUAUUAGCGUCCUCUCAAUUAAUGGAUAUUAUUGAAAUUUAAGUAUAAAUCUGGAUACUUACCUGGGUGAUUGUUUUUUCUGGCAAGAAUACAAUUCUUACCUAGAUAAUCUUUAUACAUCUUCAGAGCUGAAUUUCUUCCAUCCUUAGCGUUAAGCAGGUGUCUGGGGAUUCUCUUGAAACAUCUUUGAUAAGUAGCAGAAUUUCAUCCUUUUUGGACCGGAAAAAAAAAAAAAAGUUAUUGGCACCAGGUGAACUAUCACUUGUGAUCAUUUGCUUAGUCUUUAGGUUUUCCAGCACCUUCUCUAUGAAGCAAACAGCUAUUUAUUUACCCCUUAUCUUGAUGAAGUGGUAUGUAACACAAUCCUGGAAUUCAACUAAACACAAAGAAAUAAACCAAAAGAAAUCAGGGCUAGCUUAUGGAACAAGAGGAAUGGCUAGGAACAUCUGGAAUUAUCUACAGUUAUUAACUAGUGUAUACUACUCUCACAGACAUCAAGGUGCUGAAGCAGGCAGAACACCUGAUGGCAUCCAGAAUUAUUCUUCUGAAUCCACAGUUCACGACACCUCCUCUGUAUGGUGGUAAAAAAACUAAGUAUCUAGAAACCUCUUUUCUUCUUGGUCUUCUGAAAGAUGUCAAUGAUGAGCUCCAAAGUCAUGCGGCAGCAACUGGAUUACUACAAAGCCAAAGGCUGGGCAAAAGUAAACCUCAACUCUGCUCAUUCUUACAAGAAAUGUCAGAAGAAACAGCAAAUUCUUAUCAGGGUGUACAAGAUACCUUGAUGAAUCAAGAAGGAGAACUAAUAGCAGUUGAUUCUGCAACUCUUUCUACAAGGGAGUUUGUCAUAUAUCAGUACGGCAUCUCCAUCCUGCAAUUUCUCAGACUUCAUAUUGAUGCUCCAGAAAUUAACCUGUGUGUUGCCUCCAGCAUACCUCUCUGUAACGCUACAGGCAACGCCUUCAGAAACUGCUGCUUUUAUCAGAAAUCAGAGAACAAGCUGUUCGUUCUAAGGGAUUGCCUGGGUUCUGCUGGAAGCUUCCUGCUGCUCCUCGUGCACUCUUUAGCUCAUAUCACUGCCGCUGACUUCAACCAAGACACCAACCCAAUCUUUCUGAGGCUUUUUUAUCAGGCGCUAAAGACUUGCCUUGGUGAAAUGUUCUCUCUUAGACUCCAGCUGUCAACAGUUCUCCAGGGUGAAAAAUCUUCUGGGAUAUCUCAGAUGUUACUAAAGGAAGAACCAUUCUCCAAGGAAGAAAUAACUCUGAUCUCACAACUUUUUGAGGUAAAAACAAAAAGCAAAGACCAAUUCAUGCCAAUCACAAGGACAGUAUAAAAAGCAGUACCAUGAAAAAAUGUAUUUAAAGAGUCUAUAAAUGGCUUUUAAAAUUAACACUGAUUUGCUCUCUCCACUUCUGUGCUUAUUGUAUGAUACAUUUGAGGAACCACUAAGUGGCAAGUUGUUUGUGAAGAGGAAAGAACAUUUCCUUCAUGCCUUAAGCAGCUAUGAAAAGGGCAGUUUGGAAUGGAGGACACGGUAAGAAUGAUUUGAGAGGAUGUAUUAAAAACUCUAGUAUUAAGAUAUCAACAAUCAAACAAUCUGGGGGGUUGUAAACGAAGCAAAUCAUGACACCUUUUCAUUAUGACCUCACUCUAUACUACAAAACCAAUUUCCACAACCUGCUACAUCUACUGACACUGUAUAAAGGACAGGCUGAAUGUGUUGCCUGAUUGUUACAAAGACUGACUGCUUCUCUCUAAGCUAUCAUCUUUUGAGUAACAGAAGUUAAAUUUCUGUGAAAUUGAUCUUUCUGGCUUGGUCUUGUGAAAAGUCUACAGAUAGCACCAUCAGUGUCACCUUGACUGUCUGAUUUUAAGCAUUCCAUUUCUUUAGCUCAGCAGAGGAGAGCUGCACUUACUUGACCCCUUCAGAACUUGAGGAUAAAGUGGACACAUUAACUGAAGAGCUGGUGGAUAUCACAGAAGGUGAACGCUGCUUUUUGAACAGUAAAGGCAGUGAAGACUUGCUUUUUGACCACCUUGAAUUAACUAGUUUGGAAAAAGACCAUUUGGUACGACAAAUACAGGCAUUAGAAGAGAAGAUAGCCCUAGGUAAAAAGUUUUAAUGAUAUUCAGAAGACUUCAUGAAUUGGUUCUAAAUUGGUCCUCUGCUUUUGUCUUCAGGCUUUACACCAAAAUAAAUCUUGUG